Molecule: ribosomal RNA, 1327 nt
Filed under: uncultured bacterium
Lineage: Bacteria
Description: bacterial SSU rRNA
Rfam family: Bacterial small subunit ribosomal RNA
Source: RNAcentral
GGACGAACGCUGGCGGCGUGCUUAACACAUGCAAGUCGAACGGUCCUGUUUUUGAAGCGCUUCGGCGUGGAGGGAGCGGGUUAGUGGCGCACGGGUGAGUAAUGCGCGAGGACCUGCCCGCGGGAGGGGGACAGCAGUUGGAAACGGCUGGUGAUACCCCGUAAGCCGGGAGGUAAAAGGGCGGAGACGCCCGCCUGCGGAUGGACUCGCGUCCUAUCAGCUAGUUGGUGAGGCAACGGCUUACCAAGGCGAUGACGGGUAGGGGACCUGAGAGGGUGGCCCCCCACAAUGGAACUGAAACACGGUCCAUACACCUACGGGCGGCAGCAGUAGGGAAUAUUAGUAAUGGGCGAAAGCCUGAACUAGCAACGCCGCGUGUGCGAAGAAGGCCUUCGGGUCGUAAAGCACUUUUUGAGAGGAUGAGGAAGGACGGUACUCUCAGAAUAAGUCUCGGCUAACUACGUGCCAGCAGCCGCGGUAACACGUAGGAGGCAAACGUUAUCCGGAUUUACUGGGCGUAAAGCGCGUGUAGGUGGUUUGGUAAGUAGGGCGUGAAAGCUCCUGGCUCAACUGGGAGAGGACGUUCUAAACUGCCCNGCUUGAGGAUGGUAGAGGGAGGUGGAAUUCCGGGUGUAGCGNNGGAANNCGCAGAUAUCCGGAGGAACACCAGUGGCGAAGGCGGCCUCNUGGACCACNNNNGACACUCAGACGCGAAAGCUAGGGUAGCAAACGGGAUUAGAGACCCCGGUAGUCCUAGCCCUAAACGAUGUAGACUUGGCGUCGGUGGUUUAAUCGCCAUCGGUGUCGUAGCUAACGCGAUAAGUCUACCGCCUGGGGACUACGGCCGCAAGGUUAAAACUCAUAGGAAUUGACGGGUCCCCGCACAAGCAGCGGAGCGUGUGGUUUAAUUCGAUGCUACACGAAGAACCUUACCUGGGUUUGACAUAGAGGUAGUAGGGAAGCGAAAGCGGACCGACCCUUCGGGGAGCCUCUACAGGUGUUGCAUGGCUGUCGUCAGCUCGUGUCGUGAGAUGUUCGGUUAAGUCCGCUAACGAGCGCAACCCUCGCUGUGUGUUACAAGUGUCACACGGUACUGCCGAUAUUAAGUCGGAGGAAGGUGGGGAUGACGUCAAGUCAGCAUGACCUUUAUAUCCAGGGCUACACACACGCUACAAUGGCCAGUACAAUGGGUUGCCAAGCCGCGAGGCGGAGCCAAUCCUAAAAAGCUGGCCUCAGUUCAGAUUGCAGUCUGCAACUCGACUGCAUGAAGUUGGAGUUGCUAGUAACCGCAGGUCAGCAAUACUGCGGUGAAUACGUUCCCGGGGAU